Molecule: ribosomal RNA, 498 nt
Filed under: uncultured Massilia sp.
Lineage: Bacteria; Pseudomonadati; Pseudomonadota; Betaproteobacteria; Burkholderiales; Oxalobacteraceae
Description: bacterial SSU rRNA
Rfam family: Bacterial small subunit ribosomal RNA
Source: RNAcentral
UUUGAUCCUGGCUCAGAUUGAACGCUGGCGGCAUGCUUUACACAUGCAAGUCGAACGGCAGCGCGGGGCAACCUGGCGGCGAGUGGCGAACGGGUGAGUAAUAUAUCGGAACGUACCCAAGAGUGGGGGAUAACGUAGCGAAAGUUACGCUAAUACCGCAUACGAUCUAAGGAUGAAAGCAGGGGAUCUUCGGACCUUGUGCUCCUGGAGCGGCCGAUAUCUGAUUAGCUAGUUGGUGAGGUAAAGGCUCACCAAGGCUACGAUCAGUAGCUGGUCUGAGAGGACGACCAGCCACACUGGAACUGAGACACGGUCCAGACUCCUACGGGAGGCAGCAGUGGGGAAUUUUGGACAAUGGGCGAAAGCCUGAUCCAGCAAUGCCGCGUGAGUGAAGAAGGCCUUCGGGUUGUAAAGCUCUUUUGUCAGGGAAGAAACGGUUCGGGCUAAUAUCCUGAGCUAAUGACGGUACCUGAAGAAUAAGCACCGGCUAACUACGUG